This 315-nucleotide ribosomal RNA is filed under the name Staphylococcus aureus. Its description in RNAcentral is "partial 16S ribosomal RNA". It matches the Rfam family "Bacterial small subunit ribosomal RNA", at positions 1227 to 1533 of the family's 1533-position model. Lineage: Bacteria; Bacillati; Bacillota; Bacilli; Caryophanales; Staphylococcaceae. The record is from RNAcentral.
ACAAUGGACAAUACAAAGGGCAGCGAAACCGCGAGGUCAAGCAAAUCCCAUAAAGUUGUUCUCAGUUCGAAUUGUAGUCUGCAACUCGACUACAUGAAGCUGGAAUCGCUAGUAAUCGUAGAUCAGCAUGCUACGGUGAAUACGUUCCCGGGUCUUGUACACACCGCCCGUCACACCACGAGAGUUUGUAACACCCGAAGCCGGUGGAGUAACCUUUUAGGAGCUAGCCGUCGAAGGUGGGACAAAUGAUUGGGGUGAAGUCGUAACAAGGUAGCCGUAUCGGAAGGUGCGGCUGGAUCACCUCCUUUCUAAGGA